GAGGCUGGAAGCCCAUGACCAAGGCCAUUCAGUUCCUGUGACAGCUCUCUUCUUGGCUUGCAGAUGGCCGUCUCCUGGCUGUGCCUUCACAGGGCAGAGAAAGAAUGGGCUCUUUGGUGGCUCCCCUGUAAGCCACCAAUCCCAGGGGAUCAGGGCCCCGCCCUUACAACCUGUUUUCCUCCUCUGGAGUCGGACGGCUGUAUCUUUGGAGGUGGUGGUGGUGAUGCGGAUACUGAUACCGGGCUGUGGCAGAAAAUGGCCCAGUCACAGGAGGGUGGAGAACCUCGGUGGUGCCUUCAGAAGCUCAGGCCAGGACUCUCUAAUACACUUUGCAUCCAGAGCCCAAAAGUUAUCUUUGAAAAGAAAAUCGGACCAGUUUUCUUCUUUACCCUUUUGCCCCAGUUCGCUUUCCAAAAACAAAUUUCAUCAGGAGCUACCGGUCAAGACCAAUCUUCAGCCCUUAAUAGGGAUAGUUUCCAAUAUGGUUUAGGCAGUGGUUCUCACACUACCCCAAUGCAAGAAGCCUGGGCUUCUGUGUUCUGAUAUACACCAAAGCUUGAGAAUCAUUUAAGACUAAAAGUUCUGAAGCACAGGAAGGAAUACCAAGAAUUCAAAAAAUACAAAAAAAUUACCAAGGACAAAAUUCGCACACAAGUCUUCUUUACUUGAUCUAAUUAGUAUCUUUGUAGUUGAGGACUCUCCCACUCGGGAGGUGGUCGGUAUCCCAUGUUUGAGACAGGGCGCAAGUGGGAUUAAUAUAUUUUAAUGAGAUUGGCGCAAAAUUAGCAAAUGCUUUCUGUUGAUAAGCGGAAUCUCUAUCUUUUGAGCUGAUUCCCAAAAUGGGUAGAAAGUCCUACCCAUUUCUCCCACCUUGUCUGUUAUUUUUAAUUCUAGGAUUUUUGAUUCUCUUCUAUCCGUGGUUCUCCACCCCUGCGGCACAUGAAUGCCACCUGGGAAUUUUUAAAACUACCAAUGCCUAGGUCGCACCUUCAAAAUGGUCCAGGCAGAGGCGCGUUGUAAAACCUGCCCAAGUGAUUCUGUGUCCACCGACUUUCCUCAGGCAGGGUUCAAAACCGCCGUUACACAAUUAAACCGAGAAGGGGGAGUAGUGCCCCUGAAUCCCGGAAUUUCAUCCGGCCCUGACAUUGUGGGCGGCUGCCUGCAGUCGAGCAGGAAAAACACCGUCCGGGAGACUCGCGACUCCCAUUCCACCAGGGGGCGCGCGUGCCCCGCCGAUUACCCGCGGGUCGCGUCCUUCCUACGCAGGUCGCGUCCUUCCUUCCCGGGUCCCAGGUCCCCCCGGUGGGAGAGCGCGGACGCGUCAGCGGACCCCCAGCCCCGUAGGGCCGCCUCUGCUCCGCCUCCGCAGGGCCCUGGACUUCUUUGCGGCCCCCGCUGUAUGUGAAGUGUGCGGCUGAAGCCUGUCUGAUCGCGCGUAUUAGUCGUCGUUACAGAAACCAGUCAUUUUAAAAAUCAGAUUCGUUGUACAACGGGAAUAGUCUUAGGAGACGCACAUCGGGGAUGUAUGUAGCUGAAAUGCACCUUUUUGAGGGUGAGGAUUAAAAAAAAAAAGGGACGCAAAACACGAA
Herpailurus yagouaroundi (jaguarundi) is the source of this 1589-nucleotide long non-coding RNA. RefSeq lists it as uncharacterized. The transcript is spliced from 2 exons. NCBI's taxonomy places the organism in Eukaryota, Metazoa, Chordata, Mammalia, Carnivora, Felidae. The record is from RefSeq and is a predicted model, not a curated record.